This 440-nucleotide ribosomal RNA is filed under the name uncultured bacterium. Its description in RNAcentral is "partial 16S ribosomal RNA". It matches the Rfam family "Bacterial small subunit ribosomal RNA", at positions 338 to 795 of the family's 1533-position model. The record is from RNAcentral.
CCUACGGGUGGCAGCAGUGGGGAAUAUUGGACAAUGGUGGGAACCCUGAUCCAGCGACGCCGCGUGAGUGAAGAAGUAUCUCGGUAUGUAAAGCUCUAUCAGUAGGGAAGAAAAUGACGGUACCUGACUAAGAAGCCACGUUUACCUACGUGACAGCUGCCGCGGCAAUACGCAGGCGGCAAGCGUUAUCCGGAUUUACCGGGUGUAAAGGGAGCGUAGACGGUUCAGCAAGUCUGAUGUGAAAGGUCGGGGCCCAACCCCGGGACUGCAGUGGAAACUGGUGAACUGGAGUACAGGAGAGGUAAGCGGAAUGCGUGGUGUAGCGGUGAAAUGCGGAGAUAUUAGGAGGAACACCAGUGGCGAAGGCGGCUUACUGGACUGUAACUGACGUUGAGGCUCGAAAGCGUGGGGAGCAAACAGGAUUAGAUACCCUGGUAGUC